RNAcentral lists this ribosomal RNA (163 nucleotides) under Acaena argentea. RNAcentral's name for it is "5.8S ribosomal RNA". It matches the Rfam family "5.8S ribosomal RNA". Rfam says of the family: 5.8S ribosomal RNA (5.8S rRNA) is a component of the large subunit of the eukaryotic ribosome. It is transcribed by RNA polymerase I as part of the 45S precursor that also contains 18S and 28S rRNA. Lineage: Eukaryota; Viridiplantae; Streptophyta; Magnoliopsida; Rosales; Rosaceae. The record is from RNAcentral.
UGAACGACUCUUGGCAGCGGAUAUCUCUGCUCUCGCAUCGAUGAAGAACGUAGCGAAAUGCGAUACUCGGUGUGAAUUGCAUAACCCGUGAAACAUCAAGUCUUUGAGCGCAAGCUGUGCUCGAAGCCAUUAGGCCGAGGGCACGUCUGCUUGAGCGUCACAC